AGUUACAAAAACCAGGGGUUUAGAAACAAGCAGAGUGGUGAUGGGCACUGAGGUGCAGGAAAUGUCUCUGUAUUUUUUGUAUGGACUGUGAAACCGUUCUGUGUAACUGUGAGAAUUGUCCUCACACUUCACUACCUGUGAAGUUGGGAAAAUUUAAUCUACAUUUCUGGGCAGCACUUGGCAAGAAGACCUAGCUGCACUGAAAUAACAGUGAGGAAGCAGAGAGAGGAAAGAGCAAGCCAGGAAUAACUCCAGGUCCUUGUGCACCCAUUGCUGCAGCCCCACUAAGGGUGCCCUUUAUGGAGAAGCACUGGGAAAGGCUGUGCUCCAUGUAAAUCACUGUGACACAGACUGACAGCAAGCUUGUGUCUGGAGAAAGGACUAAACAAUCAGAUCACAAAAUGAGAGUAGCCAGAAGCUGCUGAAUUUUCUUUCCUGGCUAAAAACACCUGAUGAGCCAGCACAGAAGCAGCUUCUCUGUCCACUCAAGAGACUCUUUGAAACGUGGAUGUGUACGAGUUCUAGUUUAACAAAGCACUGAGUCACUCUCUA
Molecule: long non-coding RNA, 552 nt
Organism: Passer domesticus (house sparrow)
Lineage: Eukaryota; Metazoa; Chordata; Aves; Passeriformes; Passeridae
Exons: 2
Source: RefSeq, a predicted model, not a curated record